UACGGGGGGGGCAAGCGUUGUUCGGAAUUACUGGGCGUAAAGGGCUCGUAGGCGGCCAACUAAGUCAGACGUGAAAUCCCUCGGCUUAACCGGGGAACUGCGUCUGAUACUGGAUGGCUUGAAUCCGGGAGAGGGAUGCGGAAUUCCAGGUGUAGCGGUGAAAUGCGUAGAUAUCGUAAGGAAGACCAGUGGCGAAGGCGGGUCUCUGGACAGUUCCUGACGCUGAGGCACGAAGGUCAGGGGAGCAGACGGG
Molecule: ribosomal RNA, 253 nt
Filed under: uncultured bacterium
Lineage: Bacteria
Description: partial 16S ribosomal RNA
Rfam family: Bacterial small subunit ribosomal RNA
Source: RNAcentral